Molecule: ribosomal RNA, 253 nt
Filed under: uncultured bacterium
Lineage: Bacteria
Description: partial 16S ribosomal RNA
Rfam family: Bacterial small subunit ribosomal RNA
Source: RNAcentral
UACGAAGGGGGCUAGCGUUGCUCGGAAUCACUGGGCGUAAAGCGCACGUAGGCGGAUUGUUAAGUCAGGGGUGAAAUCCUGGAGCUCAACUCCAGAACUGCCUUUGAUACUGGCGAUCUUGAGUCCGGAAGAGGUGAGUGGAAUUCCGAGUGUAGAGGUGAAAUUCGUAGAUAUUCGGAGGAACACCAGUGGCGAAGGCGGCUCACUGGUCCGGUACUGACGCUGAGGUGCGAAAGCGUGGGGAGCAAACAGG